This 71-nucleotide transfer RNA is filed under the name Nasonia vitripennis (jewel wasp). It matches the Rfam family "tRNA". Rfam says of the family: Transfer RNA (tRNA) molecules are approximately 80 nucleotides in length. Their secondary structure includes four short double-helical elements and three loops (D, anti-codon, and T loops). The record is from Rfam by way of RNAcentral. Lineage: Eukaryota; Metazoa; Arthropoda; Insecta; Hymenoptera; Pteromalidae.
GCGUCGUUGGCUCAGUGGUUAGAGCACGCGCCGAGAUCUCGGGGACGUAGGGUCGAAUCCUCCUCGUCGCU